Molecule: RNA transcript, 2091 nt
Organism: Onychomys torridus (southern grasshopper mouse)
Lineage: Eukaryota; Metazoa; Chordata; Mammalia; Rodentia; Cricetidae
Gene: Sgsh
Gene name: N-sulfoglucosamine sulfohydrolase
Exons: 9
Source: RefSeq, a predicted model, not a curated record
CGUGCCGGAACCGCUUGCCCUGGCGGGCGCCGCCAUGCACAACCGGGGACUGGCCUGCUUCGUGGCGCUGCUGAUCCUGGGACUCAGCUGCGUGCACUCGCGCAAUGUGCUGCUGAUUGUUGCGGAUGACGGAGGUUUUGAAAGUGGUGCGUACAACAAUAGUGCCAUCUCCACCCCUCACCUGGAUGCCUUGGCCCACCACAGCCUCAUCUUUCGCAAUGCCUUCACCUCUGUCAGCAGCUGCUCCCCCAGCCGUGCCAGCCUCCUCACCGGCCUGCCCCAGCACCAGAAUGGCAUGUAUGGGCUGCACCAGGAUGUACAUCACUUCAACUCCUUCGACAAGGUGCAGAGCCUACCGCUGCUGCUCAGCCAGGCUGGAGUGCGUACAGGCAUCAUUGGGAAGAAGCACGUGGGUCCGGAGACUGUGUACCCCUUUGACUUUGCCUUCACGGAGGAGAACAGCUCUGUGCUGCAGGUGGGGCGGAACAUCACUAGAAUUAAGCAACUAGUCCAGAAAUUUCUGCAGACUCAUGAUGACAGGCCUUUCUUCCUCUACGUGGCUUUCCAUGACCCCCACCGCUGCGGGCACUCCCAGCCCCAGUAUGGAGCCUUCUGUGAGAAGUUUGGCAAUGGGGAGAGUGGCAUGGGGCGCAUUCCAGACUGGACACCCCAGACCUACGACCCUCAGGAUGUGAUGGUGCCUUACUUUGUCCCAGACACACCGGCAGCCCGAGCAGACCUAGCAGCCCAGUACACCACCAUCGGCCGGAUGGACCAAGGGGUAGGGCUGGUGCUCCAGGAGCUGAGAAGUGCGGGCGUACUGAACGACACCCUCAUCAUCUUCACAUCCGACAAUGGGAUUCCCUUCCCCAGUGGCAGGACCAACCUAUACUGGCCUGGUACAGCUGAACCUUUGUUGGUGUCAUCUCCAGAGCACCCACAACGUUGGGGCCAGGUCAGCGAGGCCUAUGUGAGCCUUCUAGACCUCAUGCCCACCAUCCUGGACUGGUUCAACGUUCCAUAUCCCAGCUAUGCUAUCUUUGGCUCAAAGACGAUCCAGCUCACAGGCCGAUCCCUCCUGCCAGUGCUGGAGGCAGAGCCCCUUUGGGCCACUGUCUUCAGCAGCCAGAGCCACCACGAGGUCACCAUGUCCUACCCCAUGCGCUCGGUACACCACCAGAACUUCCGCCUCAUUCACAACCUCAGCUUCAAGAUGCCAUUUCCCAUCGACCAAGAUUUCUAUGUCUCGCCGACCUUUCAGGACCUCCUGAACCGAACCACAGCUGGCCAGCCCACAGGCUGGUAUAAGGAUCUCCACCAUUACUACUACCGGGAACGCUGGGAACUCUACGAUGUCAGCCGGGACCCUCGAGAGACACAGAACCUAGCCGCUGACCCACACUUCUCGCAAGUACUGGAGAUGCUGAAAGCCCAGCUGGCCAAAUGGCAGUGGGAGACGCAUGACCCCUGGGUGUGUGCCCCUGACGGGAUCCUGGAGGAAAAGCUCACACCGCAGUGCCGACCUCUUCACAACGAGCUCUGACAGUCCCUGGGGCACUUGGCAGCCUGCCUGCACUCAGGCCCAAGGGAGGGGCAAUGGAGGCAGUGUCCACAGCCGCUCUCUAUACAUCCUUCUGAGGAGGGCUCCUCUAUAAUGUGGGAUGCCACUCCUGCCUGCCGGAGAGGACAUUCAGGACUGUCAGUCCAGAGUUUCUUCAGGGUGACCCGGCUCUCUCCAAUGCCAUGGAAGACCUCUGCAACAAGAAUGACUCAUCAGACUGUCGCCGUUCUUGGGAUUAUAGAAUCAUAGAGCUCUCCUAUGUGUGUGUAAGGGACAGGCAUGACCAUGGACACCGAGUGUGUGGGCUCUUCGAGAAAGAGGAGCUCUUGCUUCACUGUGGACACACUGUUCUGAAAGGGAAUGCCCACUCCUAAUUCUCUCAUUGAGGCCAACAGUUGAGGCCCAGGGAUGGGGUGAAACCCAUCUGGCACAUUUCUUGAUAUUUUUUUAAAUGCUUAAAGAUGGAGGUUGGAAAUUUGACCCAGUGGUUAAGAGCACUUGUUGCUUCUACAGAGGGCCCAGGUUCAGUC